GACGGGGGGGGCAAGUGUUCUUCGGAAUGACUGGGCGUAAAGGGCACGUAGGCGGUGAAUCGGGUUGAAAGUGAAAGUCGCCAAAAAAGUGGCGGAAUGCUCUCGAAACCAAUUCACUUGAGUGAGACAGAGGAGAGUGGAAUUUCGUGUGUAGGGGGUGAAAUCCGUUAGAUCUACGAAGGAACGCCAAAAAGCGAAGGCAGCUCUCUGGGUCC
This 215-nucleotide ribosomal RNA is filed under the name uncultured bacterium. RNAcentral describes it as "partial 16S ribosomal RNA". It matches the Rfam family "Bacterial small subunit ribosomal RNA", at positions 524 to 736 of the family's 1533-position model. The record is from RNAcentral.